RNAcentral lists this ribosomal RNA (208 nucleotides) under uncultured bacterium. RNAcentral describes it as "partial 16S ribosomal RNA". It matches the Rfam family "Bacterial small subunit ribosomal RNA", at positions 1294 to 1500 of the family's 1533-position model. The record is from RNAcentral.
CGGAUUGUAGGCUGCCAACCCGCCUACAUGAAGUUGGAAUUGCUAGUAAUCGCAGAUCAGAAUGCUGCGGUGAAUACGUUCCCGGGCCUUGUACACACCGCCCGUCACACCAUGGGAGCCGGUAAUACCCGAAGUCAGUAGUCUAACCGCAAGGGGGACGCUGCCGAAGGUAGGAUUGGCGACUGGGGUGAAGUCGUAACAAGGUAAC